AUACAGAGGGUGCGAGCGUUAAUCGGAAUUACUGGGCGUAAAGCGCGCGUAGGCGGCUUGGUCAGUCGGAUGUGAAAGCCCCGGGCUCAACCUGGGAAUGGCAUUCGAUACUGCCAGGCUAGAGUAUGGGCGAGGGAAGUGGAAUUUCCGGUGUAGCGGUGAAAUGCGUAGAUAUCGGAAGGAACACCAGUGGGGAAGGCGACUUCCUGGCCCAAUACUGACGCUGAGGUGCGAAAGCGUGGGGAGCGAACAGGAUUAGAAACCCUAGUAGUCC
Molecule: ribosomal RNA, 274 nt
Filed under: uncultured bacterium
Lineage: Bacteria
Description: partial 16S ribosomal RNA
Rfam family: Bacterial small subunit ribosomal RNA
Source: RNAcentral